CAUGCCUCCCUUAGUCUAAGGCAUGACACAAAUACAAGUAUCAUAAAGCAAAAUAUUAAUCAACUUGAGUACAUUUAAUUAAACUUUUUUCACCAAAAGUUAUCAUAGAGGAAAGAAAAAGACAAGCCACAAACUGGGAUAUGCAUCAUUAACACGUCACUAGCAAAUGAUCUGUAUCUGGAAUAUAGAGAGAGAUCUUAAAAAGAUCCAUAAGAAAAACACAAAGAAUUUCACAGAAAAAAGGGCCAAAGAACUGAACAGGCAUAUUUCACAGAGAGAAAAUGUAAGUCAUCUAUAAUCUUACUAAAAGUUACUCAAUCUCCUUAGUGAUUAUAGAAAUGCCAAUUAUAAUCAUAAUGAGUAACCAUUUGAUACUCAGCAGAUUGGCAAACAUUAAAAAAUCUGACGAUAAUAAGUUUUGGUGAGAAUAUGGAGCAAUUUAAACUGUUCAUGGAAUGCAAACUGGUACAAUUACUUAGGAAAACAAUUUAGUGUUAUUUAGUAAAAUUGAAGAUGUGUACAAUCUGGGCCCCAGGAAUGUCACUACUAUUUGAUCUGGAAAAACUCUUAUGCGUGUUUAUCAGAAGACAUGUCUCAAAUGUUUAUAGAAUAUUUAAAAAAUAAAAAAAAAUCAUGUGAAGAAACAAAAUCUGUAAAUAGCUCGACUAUUCAUUGCCAUGGGGAUGAUGAAAUGAAUUGUGAUAUGUUUAUACAAUGAAAGGUCUCUCAUUGUCAUUGUUGUUGCAUUGUUAUUGUUUUGUUUUGCUUUGUUGUUUAAGAUGAGAGGUAUAAGUAGAUGCUAGUAUGCUGGUGCAAAUAAUUCAAGAGAAAGUGCUGAAUUUAUGAUAUAGAAUAGAGAGAAAAUGAGUGAAAUAAAACCCUUGAGAAGGCAAGAGGAAAUGAGAUCAAAAUCUCACGUGUGCAAGUUGGUUUUGGGAGCAGAUAGAUGGGAAAGAGGUGGAUGGACCUCUGCAAGUCGUGAAUAAGGUAGUUCCUCUGUUUCCAUCUAUUUUUUCCGUGAUGGUUGAAGUGAACUCGUUGGCUGGGGACAGUGUGGGGAGACAGAGAAUUGGAAAAUUGAGGAAGGAGGUGAAAGUACGAAAAAAUAAAUUCCCAGAGAAUUGGAAAAUGUCAAAAACAGCUGUCAGUCUAUUAACCCGCAUAUAGAAGAGAAACACAAUGCUCAGAAAGAUUAAAUAAAUUAGAUGAAGUACCGUAGUUAGGCAGUGACAAAACUAGGCUUCCCACACAGGUCUUCUGUCUCUAAUUUAGUAAAUUUUCUUAUGCUUCAGUCUCAGGGAGGCAAAAAUUUGCUUCUUUCUAUGGGCCCUAAAGAUCCCUGGAAUUUCUGGGUGAAUUGGAAUUGUUUCAAAGGUCUGCCUGCUCCAGACACUAUCAGAGAGGUCUGAUACCUAUUGUUUUUGAACCUGUAGCAGCACUGUAUUCUUAUUUGGCUUAUUUUAGGAGUAAAAAUACAAGUAAUCAGUGAGUGAUUGUUCAAGAAUUUUUAUUUUCAUUCACUUAUUCAUUUUAAACAUUGAGCACCUACUAUGUGCUCUAAUAUAGUCAUGAGCAUUUCCAUGUGCUUUCAGUAUUUAUUCAUUGAAAAUAUUGAGCAUCCACCAUAUGUAUUAAAUUCUAGCGUGGGUGGCAAAAAACAAGUAAAUAUAUCAGAUGGUGAUAAUUUCUAUGGAGAUAAAUUAAGCAGAGUAAGGGGGUCGAGGGAGAGUUUGGUAUUUUAUAUUGGCCUGCUGAAUGGAUAGUCUUCAGAAGGGCAUGGGAGGAGAAAGAUUAGACAUGGUGGAUAUCCACAAAUCUUUGAAAAAUUUUGCUAUUAAAAAAGAGUGAAAUGGAAAAGUAAUCGGAGAGGAUGUGGAGGUCAAGGGAGAGUUUGUUUUAUUUUUUUUCAGUUGGGAGAUUAUGAUGAUUAAUUUUAUGAGUCAACUUGAAUUUUAUAUGUCAACUUGACGGGGCCAUGGAGGAGCCCAGAUAUUUGAUUAAACAGUAUUCUAGGUGUGUCUGUGAAACUCUUUCUGGAUGAGAUUAACAUUUGUAUCUGUAGACUGAGUAAAGCAGAUUGCUCUCCCCAGUGUGGGUGGGUCUCGUCCAAUCCAUUGAAAGCCUGAAUAGAACAAAAAGGCUGAGUUGGGAGAAUUCAUUCUCUUUCUACAUGACUAUCUUUGAGCUGUGACACCAGUCUUCUUCUGCCUUCAGCCUAGGACUGGAACUUACACCAUUGGCUCUCCUGCAUCUCAAGCUUGCCAAGUGCAGGUCUUGGGGCUUUUCAACCUCCACAAUCACCAAGAAGAUGGCCCUCUGUAAAAGGGAAGAGGUCACUCACCAGAACCUGACCAUACUGGCACCCUGGUCUUGGACUUCCAGCCUCCAGAACUGUGAGAAAUAAAUUUCUGCUGUUUAUAACCCACCCAGUCUAUGGUACUUUGUCAUAGCAGCCUGAAUUGACUAAGACAGUGGGUUUUUUAAAAAGUGUUUUUUGAAUAAUGAAUUUGUCUCUGCAGUACUCAAGUAAAAUAGGUACCUCUGAACAGUUUGUACCAGGGGUGUGGACUGGGCCUGUUUGCUAGCCAUGGUAUACAAACACAGCUGCUUGAUCUGGAAGAAUUUAAUCAAACUACUCUCUACCUAGAUUUCUGAUUUUGAAAUGUGGCAGAUGAUUAUGAUACGGGUAUAUAUUUCCUUGAUCUUUCUCUUAGUCUUAUUUAUUUAUUAUUUACUUACUUACAUGCUUAUUAUCACAAAAACUCCUACUCAUCCUUUAGAAACUCAUGCAGUGCUUGGGUUAGGUGAAAUUCAUUUAGAAAAGCUGAUGCAUGAAAAUGGGAAUGUAAAGACAAUGAGUAACAAAUUUCUUUCUAAAUAUUCUUUCGUAAAAUAAAAGAGAAAGAGGAGGAGAUCAUUUGAAAAAGAAGUAAUAUGGCAGGGAAUCUUCUUAGUUUCCUGAUAUUGUAUCCGGUCGGUGACAGUCUGUUCUCAGUAUUGGUAAGGAUAGCAUCGAUUGCUGGGGUAAGUUAUUUUGGGAGGACAUUAAUAGUAUGGUAAAUAAUUUAGUCCUAUCAACCACAGGAAGUAUCCUAUCCUAAAAGACAUAUCAGAAGACAUGUCUUUUGGCUUUUAAGAAAAUGAUAUAAGACUCAUACAGUUAAAAUUAUUUUUGAAGCUGACUAUCCCUGGGUGCAUAACUGUACUGAUAUUUUCCCAUCAGUUUGCAGACAAUUGGCCCACUUUGGUGAUGAGUCAUUUAGUUCCACUUUCAAUCUUGGCAUUGAAAAAUACAUAGGUAAUUCUAGUGUGAAAAAAGACAUUUCCAUAUUCUUGCCUUAAAAUUUGAUUUAGAACUAUAUGACCUGUUAUUUUGUUUCUUUUGCCAGAAAGUUUUUGCAAUGAAAUUUUUAUAAAAAUUGCUCUAAUACAUUUUUAUAGUUGGGAAGGACCAUUUUAAAAUGUGAAUUUGAAUUCAUCACUGUGUGAUUGGCUUCCAAAUUUGCAUCUUCUGCCAGACACCUCCUCUGAGUUCCAGAGCAUAUAUACUAAUACAAAGGGAGAUUUGGAGUGGAGUAAGCAAGAGAGACGGACAUCAUCUCUGAUACUUACUUCUCCCUCACCCUCUUUAACAAACCAUCACCAUGUUCCAUGAUUUUACUUCCUAAAUAUCUCUAAAAUCUGACCGUAUCACUCUGGUGAUGUCAUAACUGAUUUUUAUGACAUUUAAUGAUAUCACAACAGAUUUUCAUACAUUUUCCCUUUCCCCUCUCCUAUUCUUUCUCCAGAAUGAACUUUUUCAAUGAAGCUCGUAUAGAUUCUUCUCCUCAGCACUAAAGUGUGAAACAAUUUCAUCUGUAGAAAUUUAUCCAAAGAACUUGAAAACACCAAUUUGCAAAGGUACAUGCACCACUGUGUUCAUUGCAGCGUUAUUCACAAUAGCCAAGACUUGGAAGCAACCUCAGUGCCCAUCAAGGGAUAA
Diceros bicornis minor is the source of this 3982-nucleotide long non-coding RNA. RefSeq lists it as uncharacterized. NCBI's taxonomy places the organism in Eukaryota, Metazoa, Chordata, Mammalia, Perissodactyla, Rhinocerotidae. The record is from RefSeq and is a predicted model, not a curated record. The transcript has 3 exons.